CGUUUCCCCACACCUGACCCUCAUGAAGACUGAAAAGACAAACAAAGUUAUUGCAUAAUUAGGAAAUGGACAUUACAUGACCAUGACACUGCAGCAAGUCUUGCACAUCCAGGAUGAUGAACUAAGCACCAGUUUUGCCAAGAGGAUCUACCCCAGAGGAGCAGAGGGAGGCCCCAGAUGGAGUGCCCACAGCCAAAAGGCAGGAGCACCAGAGAACCAGGAGCAGGAGGCAGCAGACUCCAGCCGGAGUCGGCCUCCCAGCACGAGCUGAGAACAGGGCCACAGGACCCUAGGUGCCCAAGGACUGCCUGACACCUGGCGGGAACCCCAGCAUGCAACAAAGAGGUCAAACCACUUCAGACCACAGGCCUGAGGGCCAGCAAGUACCCACAUCCAACAACCAGUGGAGAUGGAAACCUCCCCACACUCAAGAAGAGUGUCCCACAGGGACCAAGGCCUAGUGAGCCACACACACAACAAAAAGAUUGUUGACUUAUGUACCUGUGCAUUUUCAAAUGUCUGUGUUUCAGGUGCUGCAUGUUUGUUUUCCUUACAGGUGCCGUAGUUGAAGAGACAUUGUGCAUUUCUACUUCUACUCUAUCCUUUUACUGCCUGUCCUGCCUUAGACAUGGUCAUACUGUAUACUACGUAUAAUGACUGAAAUAACACAGAUAGAAAUGACAAAAUAAUCAGAUAAGCCCUGAACAAGAGGAGCCUGUAGAGAAUCUAAGGAGCUGUUCUUGGCAAAACAAAAUGUGUUUGGCACAACAGUGGAUCCAGAUCAUUCCACCCCCAAUCAAAGGACUUCCUCUCUACACAGACUACACAAACAACCAUCACUACUCUGUAAGAGUGAAUUUACGUGCAAUCACCUACACUGUAAAUAUAUAACAAUAUUGUUUUAUAUGUAUACAUUUGAUAUUGAAGCUGUUCAGAUGUUUAUGGUGCCACAGAACUGUGCACCUUACCCCCGU
Pundamilia nyererei is the source of this 974-nucleotide long non-coding RNA. RefSeq lists it as uncharacterized. The transcript is spliced from 3 exons. NCBI's taxonomy places the organism in Eukaryota, Metazoa, Chordata, Actinopteri, Cichliformes, Cichlidae. The record is from RefSeq and is a predicted model, not a curated record.